This 409-nucleotide ribosomal RNA is filed under the name uncultured bacterium. Its description in RNAcentral is "bacterial SSU rRNA". It matches the Rfam family "Bacterial small subunit ribosomal RNA", at positions 29 to 420 of the family's 1533-position model. The record is from RNAcentral.
AGCGAACGCUGGCGGCGUACUUAACACAUGCAAGUCGAACGAGGGGUUUCGGUGUAGCAAUACAUCGGAGCUUCUAGUGGCGCACGGGUGAGUAACACGUGGGCAACCUGCCCUUGAGUCCGGGAUACCCUCUCGAAAGGGAGGCUAAUACUGGAUACGUUCUUCGGAUCGCAAGGUCUGGAGAGGAAAGGUAGCGAAAGCUGCCGCUCUUGGAGGGGCUCGCGGCCUANCAGCUAGUUGGUGAGGUCACGGCUCACCAAGGCUAUGACGGGUAGCUGGUCUGAGAGGACGACCAGCCACACGGGAACUGAGACACGGUCCAGACUCCUACGGAGGCAGCAGUGGGGAAUUUUUCGCAAUGGGCGCAAGCCUGACGAAGCAAACGCCGCGUGUAGGAUGAAGGCCCUAG